This is an RNA transcript of Nasonia vitripennis (jewel wasp), 3270 nucleotides long. It is a transcript of the gene named tRNA:m(4)X modification enzyme TRM13 homolog, with no coding region annotated. The record is from RefSeq and is a predicted model, not a curated record. Lineage: Eukaryota; Metazoa; Arthropoda; Insecta; Hymenoptera; Pteromalidae. The transcript has 8 exons.
AGUGUUUUGUAUUGAAACGUGCUCGUUAUAUCGUGGCAGUUCGUGGAAAAGAGGAAAAGAUCUGUUCAGCUGCAAAGAGGUUUCCGAGGAUUAAAAUUGUUUUGAGAUUGUUCUAUUUCUAUACUUGUAUAAGGUAACUUGUAGGUGCGGUAGGGAAGCUUGGAGACUGAUCUUUUGCUUUUAAUUGUAUCGUGCACAAGUGAUUUGUUUGGAUUAACCUAUAUACCUAUACUAAUUCGUCGCAGAUGUUCUUUCAUGAGGUUUUCUCGCAGUUGAAUGAAAAUGACCGGCUUUGAGCACUGUCAAUUUUUCGUGGAACGAAAGAAGCGUUACUGUCGCAUGUCGGUGAAGAAGGGCAAAAGCUUCUGUGGAGAGCACGAGUCCACUCAGAGCGACUGGAACAAGGUUAUCGAUGAGAGGAUAGACUGUCCAUUGGAUCCUUCACAUACAAUUUACAAAUCCAAGUUGACAAAGCACUUGAAAGUUUGCAAUGCCAAAGUCAAACUUGAUGCACAGCCAUCAUACGUGGUCAAAGGAAUCAAUUUAGGGGAGACUGUCAAGUGUCUUAAUGAUAUUCCUCUGUCGUUGAUCGAGCAAAGUGUCAUAGAUGUUGUUAUUGAAAAAAUAAAAAAUUCUUUUGACAAAUUGCCAGAAAUACCCGAGGAAAUAUUAACACAUGAAGUGCUGAAAGGAGAAUUAAGUAAUCCAACAUAUGGACCUGAAGCCAAAAGACACUUGUUACAAACAGCAUCUUUACUGGGACACUUGGAAAAUGCUGACCUUGUUCAUGAAAACACGUGCUUCAUAGAAUUUGGAGCAGGUCGAGGUAAGCUAACAUAUUGGUUGGCCCAGGCAACAAAGAACCAGACAAAUUCUUCUAUUCUCCUGAUUGACAGAUCUAGUCAUAGGCAUAAGAAAGAUAACAAAUUGAAAAAUGAAAAGGUUGAAAUCAAAGUGACAAGAGUUCGUGCAGACAUUGCUGACUUGAAGUUAAGUGAUGUACCAGAAGCUCAACAGAUGCAGUGCCAAGUUGCAUUUGCAAAGCAUAUAUGCGGUGUUGCCACAGAUUUAACUUUGCGCUGUAUAACAAACUCAAUUCCAAAAAGUAAAAGUUCCAAAUUUGGAAUGGUGAUUGCCUUUUGCUGUCAUCACCAAUGCAAUUGCUCUCACUAUGUUGGUCACAAAUACCUAGAGAAGGAGGGUUUUACAAAUGAUGAAUUUCCAAUACUCUGUAAAAUUGCUAGUUGGGCAACAUGUGGCAUUAAGCUGAACAAGGCCAGUGAAGAUUCUGAACGUGAAAUGUUAGGACGCAAAGUAAAGACUUUACUGAAUCAGGGUAGGCUAGAAUAUUUGAAAUCCUUUGGAUUCAGUGGUCGACUAGUGCAUUAUACAACCACAGACAUAACUUUGGAGAAUCAAGCAAUUGUAGCUACUCUAACUAGGGAAAGUAUAUGUGGUGAAAAUUAGGAAACUUAAUUAUUAUAGUUUCUGAAUCUUUAUAUUUGAAAACGAGCACAACAAACAAUAAAUUAUCAACAAGUAUACCUAUAAUAUCUACACUGGUAAAAGCAUAUUUUGCAAAAGAGCGUUUAUACCAAGAGAACAAAAUAAAACUCAAAUCAGUAUUAAACCGAAAAACUGGACUAAAACUACUGAAAAGUCACCUUUCCAACGCUCCGACUUUGCCAACAUAUGCCAGAGCAGCUGUUGCUGUCUGGCUUUUUUAUGGUCUAUGCCCAUAUGCCUCACCCACGCGUUCCAUCCCCUCCCGUGCGCGCGGAGUCAGAAAGACGCGGCGGCGGUGCGCCCCGCCCAAUAUACGAGAGUUGACUCCACUACGCUACUCACGUCGGCCACAAAACAUUCCAUUCACGCGCUAAUUGCUCAUGUCGACGAGCCCUUGCAACGAAUUCCACUGGUUGGGCGUAGUGUAGUCCUCGACGAAAGAUUGUCUUCGUGGAGGCGAAGCUACGGAAGCGGAAUCAAAAAGACGACCGUGACGCCUUCAGAAAGAAUCCAUACUUCAAAGAGGAGGAUCAAAUUAAGGGGGACUUCACUCCGUUCUACGUAGCAAUCACUAUUUGCUCCAUUAUUGGUGCCUUUCUGAUCAUCAUUAAUAUUGCUUUCUGCUACUGCUCGCAGUAUCGAGGCUACUGGAAAAACAGAAAUACUGGUAACCGUUGGAUCCAGUCGCUGUGGACUGUAACACCCCAUAACAAUCCACCUCUAGACCUGACUGAAUUGGAAGAAGGUGUCAAGACUUACCAAGCAAACGCAAACAAUACUGUGCAAUAUUUCCCAGAAGACACAGAGAGCAUUGGACAUCAGCAGGGACAACAGUACAUGGAACUUCAAAAACGAGAGAGUGAUAUAUAAGUGACUAUCGCUGUAUCCAAAGUCUUAGCAUACUGAAAACUGACGAGACUUAAAGAUGAGUCUGCACGUAUUCUGGCCAGCUUCCGCCGUUCUGACGCUAUUCGUAGUCGGCGUCAUAAUGAUAUUGUUGAAAUUCGGACCGCGAAUCUGCAAAACGAGACACGAGCCGUUGCCUACCGAGCAGGACUGGAUGGGCAAGUCUUACGAGCAUGAAUUGUCGGUGUCCAUAGCCUGAUUCAGCUCAAAGCAACAAUGUGUCUCAUCACUGCACAAAAAAUGCUGUUAAUCAAUCUUGCUUUUAUACGAUAUUGAUCGUUCUUUUAUUUGAAUCUCACUUUUUGAUAUAACUUUUUAUCUUUGAAAAAUUUGCCUUUAGAUUCAAUCACGAUUCCGUCCAUGAAUAGAUUGUAACUAUUAAUUACUUAGCUAAGAGUUUUUAUUUUGUAUACAGAGCAAAAUGUAUAUCCAGUUUUUUAUCGCAAACUUCUUCAUGAAGUGCGAUCAUGCAACUUUGUAGAGAUGUUCUGCUUGUUUUGUACAGAUUAAACUAACUUUUAAUUAGAGAAACUGCACCUGAUUACUAAUGUAAGAGCUUAAGAAGUACAAGCCUCUCAAACUGCCUUAAACUUUUAGAAACUUUUCUAAUAUUGAUAUUAAGAAUGGGUAGUGCAAGUGAGUAUUUUUGCAAACCGUCCAAGAGAGAUUUUCGAAGAGAGAGAAAUCUCACAGAAUCUCCGUUAUUCUACAAGUUUUUAUACUAUAGACAAAAUUUUCUAUGAAAUUUUAUACUUUACAUUAUAUACAUGCUUUUUUGUAGUGUAUCUAGCUCAUCAGCUAGAUAAAGUUUGUAUCUUGUCUACCGAUGUUUUUACAAUAAAGUAAAAUUUUAUCUUA